GUCCAGGGAUGGGAAUCGAACCCACAGUGUUCUGCUUACUGGGCAGAUGCCAUGUCCACUAGGCUACCCUGGGA
This 74-nucleotide transfer RNA is filed under the name Cordylochernes scorpioides. Its description in RNAcentral is "tRNA-Thr". Lineage: Eukaryota; Metazoa; Arthropoda; Arachnida; Pseudoscorpiones; Chernetidae. The record is from RNAcentral.